AAAGGAAUAGACGGGGACCCGCACAAGCAGUGGAGUAUGUGGUUUAAUUCGAAGCAACGCGAAGAACCUUACCAGGUCUUGACAUCUGAAUGACCGCUCUAGAGAUAGAGUUUUCCUUCGGGACAUUCAAGACAGGUGGUGCAUGGUUGUCGUCAGCUCGUGUCGUGAGAUGUUGGGUUAAGUCCCGCAACGAGCGCAACCCUUGACUUUAGUUGCCAGCAGGUAAGGCUGGGCACUCUAGAGUGACUGCCGGUGACAAACCGGAGGAAGGUGGGGAUGACGUCAAAUCAUCAUGCCCCUUAUGACCUGGGCUACACACGUACUACAAUGGCCGGUACAACGGGAAGCGAAGGAGCGAUCUGGAGCGAAACCUAGAAAAGCCGGUCUCAGUUCGGAUUGCAGGCUGCAACUCGCCUGCAUGAAGUCGGAAUUGCUAGUAAUCGCGGAUCAGCAUGCCGCGGUGAAUACGUUCCCGGGUCUUGUACACACCGCCCGU
This 496-nucleotide ribosomal RNA is filed under the name uncultured bacterium. RNAcentral's name for it is "bacterial SSU rRNA". It matches the Rfam family "Bacterial small subunit ribosomal RNA", at positions 903 to 1397 of the family's 1533-position model. The record is from RNAcentral.